Molecule: ribosomal RNA, 434 nt
Filed under: uncultured bacterium
Lineage: Bacteria
Description: partial 16S ribosomal RNA
Rfam family: Bacterial small subunit ribosomal RNA
Source: RNAcentral
AGCGAACGCUGGCGGCAGGCCUAACACAUGCAAGUCGAACGAACCUUUCGGGGUUAGUGGCGGACGGGUGAGUAACACGUGGGAACGUGCCUUUAGGUUCGGAAUAACUCAGGGAAACUUGUGCUAAUACCGAAUGUGCCCUUCGGGGGAAAGAUUAAUCGCCUUUAGAGCGGCCCGCGUCUGAUUAGCUAGUUGGUUGAGGUAAUGGUUCACCAAGGCGACGAUCAGUAGCUGGUCUGAGAGGAGGAUCAGCCACAUUGGGACUGAGACACGGCCCAAACUCCUACGGGAGGCGGCAGUGGGGGAUCUUGCGCAAUGGGCGAAAGCCUGACGCAGCCAUGCCGCGUGAAUGAUGAAGGUCUGAGGAUUGUAAAAUUCUUUCACCGGGGACGAUAAUGAUGGUACCCGGAGAAGAAGCCCCGGCUAACUUCGUG